RNAcentral lists this ribosomal RNA (587 nucleotides) under uncultured bacterium. RNAcentral describes it as "bacterial SSU rRNA". It matches the Rfam family "Bacterial small subunit ribosomal RNA", at positions 338 to 916 of the family's 1533-position model. The record is from RNAcentral.
CCUACGGGAGGCAGCAGUGGGGAAUUUUGGACAAUGGGCGCAAGCCUGAUCCAGCAAUGCCGCGUGAGUGAAGAAGGCCUUCGGGUUGUAAAGCUCUUUUGUCAGGGAAGAAACGGCUGAGGUUAAUACCUUUGGCUAAUGACGGUACCUGAAGAAUAAGCACCGGCUAACUACGUGCCAGCAGCCGCGGUAAUACGUAGGGUGCAAGCGUUAAUCGGAAUUACUGGGCGUAAAGCGUGCGCAGGCGGUUUUGUAAGUCUGACGUGAAAUCCCCGGGCUCAACCUGGGAAUUGCGUUGGAGACUGCAAGGCUGGAGUCUGGCAGAGGGGGGUAGAAUUCCACGUGUAGCAGUGAAAUGCGUAGAGAUGUGGAGGAACACCGAUGGCGAAGGCAGCCCCCUGGGUCAAGACUGACGCUCAUGCACGAAAGCGUGGGGAGCAAACAGGAUUAGAUACCCUGGUAGUCCACGCCCUAAACGAUGUCUACUAGUUGUCGGGUCUUAAUUGACUUGGUAACGCAGCUAACGCGUGAAGUAGACCGCCUGGGGAGUACGGUCGCGAAGAUUAAAACGUCAAAGGAAUUGACGG